UGGGAAGAAGCUUAACUUGGGGGAAACUGCCACAAGGUUAUCACUUUAACAAAGGAAAACUUAAUAAUAUCAAAUAUGAAAUAUAAUUAUAUUAUAAAAUUAAAUUAAAUAUUUAAUUAUACUUAAUUUAAGAGUAGUUUGUAUGCUAAUAUUAUAAUAUAUCUAUAUUGUAAUUAGUCUUUUAUAUAAAAAAAACACCUUUGUUAAGCUAAUUAGUAUCAGUUAACUCAUUUAAGUAACAUCU
RNAcentral lists this ribosomal RNA (244 nucleotides) under Tricholoma pardinum. RNAcentral's name for it is "partial small subunit ribosomal RNA". Lineage: Eukaryota; Fungi; Basidiomycota; Agaricomycetes; Agaricales; Tricholomataceae. The record is from RNAcentral.